UCACAGCAGCGAUGGAGAUGAAACUAGGAACAAAUAUUGCCCCUUUUAACCGAUGAUUCCAUCUGCAAGCAUCAAAACAUUUCGACCAUAUGAGAGUAUUUUUCAUAGUCAAAGUUCAAUUACAGUUUUUCCUUGAAUUUUAGAAAUAUCAAGCACGAAUCAACCCGUUGCAUGAAGAAACAGCAAAUCUAGCAUCAAUAAAUACUAAUAUUCUAGGUCUCCACGGACAUGAUAAUAUAUUUUGUAAACUUUAGCGAAAGACAACUUGUGUGAUAAAAGGGAAAUGACUUAUGUUUGAUACUGUCCCAUUUGGUUAAAAUCGGUGAAUAAAAGACUGACACUAUGGAGAGAUCAUCAAUGAUUUUGCUUGCAAAUGACUUUGGAUCUCUCCCAAACAGAAAAACUAUGAUGUAUCUCUGAUAAACUUUCAAAAACACAUAACCAGUUCCGGCGAAAGAGAAGUAAAAGAAGAGGAAUCAGAGAGUCAAAAAAGAUCGGGGAUGGUUCGAAAGGAGUAAGUGAAGGGCCUAAGCUUACGGGCUGGGCCGACGGGCUUGAGCUAGAGGAGCCUGACCCACCAGCUUAACGAAUUUAACCGAUGGCUAAUCGAAAUAAAUAUGGAAGGACGCGAUGGAGAGUGUGUGGAAUUUCUAUGACCUUAAUCUGCCCGCUAUCUCUCUCAGUUCCUUCCAGACACUCUCUUUCUCACACACUCUCUCUCUUUCUAGUCUCUUCUCAGUUCUGUCCUCUCUCAUGAACCUGAUUCUGUUCCUAGAUUGUUAAUUUCCAGAAAUAGUAUCAGUUGCCGUCUAGUUCUUGAAAGAACUGUAAGAGCUAUCCCUGUGGAUGUUCUGUUUGAUUUCAACAAGUAUUACUCUCUGUCACUAUCUGGAAUUGUCUAAGCAAAUAUUAUUGAGAAUAUUUGAGCCUAGCUUCAUCAAUUGAAUUUUCUUGAGUUAAAUAUUAUCUGUUUCGGUUGUCGUUCUGAGUUGUCUUCCAAUCUUUACCAAAAGGGGGUCCCAUCAAUCUCUCUGGUGGAGCCCGAGAUUUGCACAGGACGACGCCGGCGAGGGCUUCGGGAGCAUGCCGCAUCAGUCACACCACAGCGGAAGGCCAUCUCUGCCGUCCACGACGACGCUGGGGCCUACCUUGGUGAGGAGGAUGAGAACUACAAUACCAUUGGUAGGACCUGUACAAUGUAGGGCAGAACUUCCUUCAGAUGCUCUGCGGGGGUGAGUACGCGGAUUUCCCCUAGGAGGUAGAGGAGGAGAAGAAGCUUGGGAAGUUGCCGCCACCACGGGGGGCGCACACCGUUGUAGUGGCCUCAGAGGCCUCCUUCGUUGCCGGUGAUUCAGACGCCCCCGCUCUUGCUGCCUCCUCCCACGGAGCAGGAGCCGCCUUCGGAUUUCUCCUAGUUGCUGAUGUCGAUCCCUGGCAUCGGUGGGGAUCCUGCGAUCGAGAGAGGCAUGGAUGGAUGGGUCGAGGGGGUACGCUGAGGUGGGAUCCUGUCCGUCGAGGAUGUCUGCCGCUGAAGAAGCUGUGUGAUGAUGAGAGGUGAGAGGCCAAGCGGACAAAUCUUAAGAGUGAAUCAUCAUCUUCUUGUCAUGUUCUCCACAUAACAAGAGCCCUAUCAUUCAUUCCAUGACCCAACGCUUCACCCAUCAGAUUGCUUUGCAGUAACAUAUCAAUGAAAUAAAAUCUGCUCCGCUGAGAAAAAUCGUAAUAUUAUCCAGA
This 1734-nucleotide long non-coding RNA is filed under the name Spirodela polyrhiza (greater duckweed). RNAcentral describes it as "long non-coding RNA (SPOL_LNC000479)". The record is from RNAcentral. Lineage: Eukaryota; Viridiplantae; Streptophyta; Magnoliopsida; Alismatales; Araceae.